ACAAAUAAUGCAUGUACCUUAAUCUGAUCAAUUGAUUUCACAUUCGUUGUUCCUAGUACAUAUUAAUUAAGUAUGUGAUUAUAUCCCAAUUAAAUUACCACUUGAGUGAUAUAUGAGAGUUUUCUUUCAAGUUAUACAUGUUAAGAAUUUCCACUAUGGACAAUGGUGCAUAUAAGAAACUCAUUCAGAAGUUAAUAAAAGGUUGCUUUGGUAGAAGGAGCUGUUUACAUGAAUGUAUACAAGAGAGAAGAAUUUGCCGAACGGAAAUGUGAGGUAUGUUAGAUUGAACUUGAUUUUCUUUCUUAUUUUUAUUUUUCCUCAAGAUUCAUAUUUAUUUUUAUUUAAUUUG
This is a non-coding RNA of Arachis ipaensis, 349 nucleotides long. The record is from RefSeq and is a predicted model, not a curated record. NCBI's taxonomy places the organism in Eukaryota, Viridiplantae, Streptophyta, Magnoliopsida, Fabales, Fabaceae.